GUCGGACAACAGUUCGGCAGUUUUGUAACAAGUUAAACAUACACUUACAAUAUGACCCAGGAAUUCCACUCCCAGGUUUCUACCCAAGAGAAAUGAAAAUUUAUCUUUUCAUACGAAAACAGAGACUUGUACGUGAAUGUCCAUAGCAGCAUUAUUGGUAAUAACUCAAAACAGGAAACAGUGCAAAUGUCCAUCAAAUGGUGAAUGGAUAAACAAAAUGUGGCUUAUUUGUGGAAUUAAAUUAUAAUAUUCAGCCAAGAGAAGUGAACUGUUGAUAAAUGCUACCACAUGGAUGAACCUCGAAAACAUUACAGUAAGCGAAAAAAGCCAGAUGCCCAAGACCACAAAUCGUGUGAUUCCAUUUACAUGAAAUGUCCAGAAAAGACAAAUUUAUUUAUAGAGACAGAAAGCAGAUAGGUGGCUGCCUGGGACUGGAGUGGGAGAAAUGACUAGCUGCUAAUAGGUUCAAGGUCAGCUGGAGGUCGGAUGAUCUAGGAUGACCUCACUCCCACGUCUGGAGGGGGGCAAGUUGUCAGUCAGGUGAGUUCUCCUCCACGUGGCCUUUCACCCUUCAGCAGGCUAGCCUGGGCUUACUGACAUGGUGGUCUCAGGAUUCCAGGCACAGAAGAGGGUAAGCUAUAAAGCACAAGGGCUAUUCAAGUCUCUGCUUGAAUUGUAUUUGCUGUCCCGUUGGCCAAAGCAAAUCACACGGCCGGAUCCAGAUUCAAAGCCUCUGCAGUCAUGUUGCAAAGUGAUGGGCAGAAUUAGUGGCCGUUUUUCGCAAUCUACCAAAGGGAAGAAGAGAGUUAAACAACUCCUCUAUGGUUAUAUGGUUAUAUGUGUGGUUAUACACAUACAUAACCAGUAUCUUGCAGAGCUAGGAUUCUGGUGCUCACACUUUUACUCACCAUGCCAUAUGCUGAGUGGUGUUUUCAAGGAGUGGUGUUUCAAUGUAGUGUGUGGGAUGGAGAGGGAUUGGAUAAGCAGCCAACAAGGAAUUCAGACUAUUCUAAAGACACUAGAAAUCCACAGGAAGAUUUAAACUGAUUGUCAUUUUAGAAAGCUCACUCUGUCUAUAGUAUGGAGGCUGGACAAUAGGGGGAGGGGUUGAUGGCAGAGUGACCAAUGAGGACUUCAUUGCGUUAGAUUUGGUUAGAGAUGAAAGGAGGUUGAAGUGGCAGUGGGGAUGAAGAGAAGAGGACAGAGUCGAAGGAUGUUUCAGAGCUAAAAUGGGACUUUGCUGAGCACUGAUGGGAAGGAUGGGGAAGAUGUGGGGUAAGUGAAGUUUCCCCAGCGGGUCUAGAGGGAAGAUGAUGAGUUACUGUGCGGCCAUGUUGGCUCUGAGGUCCUUAUGGAACAUAGGAAGGUAAAUGUCCCUUUGCCAACAGCAUCUUCAGGUGCAAGGUCUAAGCUAGCAAUCUAGAUUUGGGAAUUAUUGGCAUGGAGGGUAUGGUUGAAGCCACAGUCCUAGAUACGAUUGGUCGUGAGGGUGGGAAGAGAGCAGGCUUCAUAGAGCACCCUGAGGACCACAAGCCUUUAAGAGAUGGGCCAAAGGAAAGAGUCAGGUGAGAAGUCAGAGGAACUCAGUCUUGGGAUAAAGAACUCCAGGGAGUGGUCAGCAAGGUCAAACUCAGCAGAAAGGUUAAAGAAGAUCUGAACUGAAGAAAGGCUGUUUAGUUUAGCAAUCCAGUGAUCAGAGACAUUUGCAGACCCUGCAGUGUGGGUGGCGAUGGAGGGUGGAGAUGUAACAUGGAUGGCUGAGGUGUGAAUGGGAGGCGAUGAGAUAGAAUAUUCUUUCAGGAAGUAAGAAUGUGUUUCAGACUUGGAAACAGAGAGUAUGCCCUCCAGUCCCGGUUCUGAUACCAUCUAUAAAAUAUUUGGAAAAUCAUUUAAUCUCAUAGGUCUUGGUUUCUCCUCUGUAAAAUGGGUUUAAAAAUAUACAGCUAACCGGAUUGUAAUAACAAUAAAAUUAAAUAAUUCAGUGUUUCCCUAAUUGUUGCGCUGCACACCCCUGGGGAUAAAUGAGAUGAUUUUAGGCGGCACUUGAACAAUAUUUUUAAAAAUGGCUCUGUAUUUAUUUUCUCUAUUUUAG
RNAcentral lists this long non-coding RNA (2092 nucleotides) under Equus asinus (donkey). Its description in RNAcentral is "lncRNA (ENSEASG00005026894.1)". The record is from RNAcentral. Lineage: Eukaryota; Metazoa; Chordata; Mammalia; Perissodactyla; Equidae.